This 505-nucleotide ribosomal RNA is filed under the name uncultured bacterium. RNAcentral describes it as "partial 16S ribosomal RNA". It matches the Rfam family "Bacterial small subunit ribosomal RNA", at positions 28 to 507 of the family's 1533-position model. The record is from RNAcentral.
GACGAACGCUGGCGGCGUGCCUAAUACAUGCAAGUAGAACGCACAGUUUAUACCGUAGCUUGCUCCACCAUAGACUGUGAGUUGCGAACGGGUGAGUAACGCGUAGGUAACCUGCCUGGUAGCGGGGGAUAACUAUUGGAAACGAUAGCUAAUACCGCAUAAUAUUAAUUAUUGCAUGAUAAUUAAUUGAAAGGUGCAAUUGCACCACUACCAGAUGGACCUGCGUUGUAUUAGCUAGUAGGUGAGGUAACGGCUCACCUAGGCGACGAUACAUAGCCGACCUGAGAGGGUGAUCGGCCACACUGGGACUGAGACACGGCCCAGACUCCUACGGGAGGCAGCAGUAGGGAAUCUUCGGCAAUGGACGAAAGGCUGACCGAGCAACGCCGCGUGAGUGAAGAAGGUUUUCGGAUCGUAAAGCUCUGUUGUAAGAGAAGAACGGGUGUGAGAGUGGAAAGUUCACACUGUGACGGUAUCUUACCAGAAAGGGACGGCUAACUACGUG